RNAcentral lists this long non-coding RNA (326 nucleotides) under Nicotiana benthamiana. RNAcentral's name for it is "long non-coding RNA (NBEN_LNC027933)". Lineage: Eukaryota; Viridiplantae; Streptophyta; Magnoliopsida; Solanales; Solanaceae. The record is from RNAcentral.
CGCUUCCGCUUAUGUUGUUGUUCCAAGUAAUUCGAUAUGAAGGCUAAAGUGUUUUAUUUGGAUUCAUUCCAACAAUUGGUAUCAGAGCCUCCUUCGUAUUGAAUCAUUUGGAAGUUCAUGAAAUCCAUGUUAUAAAGCUUCAUGAUUAAAUUAAGAUAGAAUUUUAAUUAUGAAAUUCUAGUACCAUAAUAUAGCAUGCUUUCAUGAAUGAUAUGUUGAUUAUGAACUUUAGUAUUUAGAUACCAUGUUAUCUCUAGAUGAAUUGAAAUAUUGAAAUUUGCAUAAUUUUGGCUGUUGAACAACAUGAUUCCUUGUUUAAGCCUUUU